RNAcentral lists this ribosomal RNA (468 nucleotides) under uncultured bacterium. Its description in RNAcentral is "partial 16S ribosomal RNA". It matches the Rfam family "Bacterial small subunit ribosomal RNA", at positions 28 to 507 of the family's 1533-position model. The record is from RNAcentral.
GACGAACGCUGGCGGCGUGCUUAACACAUGCAAGUCGAACGGUGAAGCUCCAGCUUGCUGGAGUGGAUCAGUGGCGAACGGGUGAGUAACACGUGAGCAACCUGCCCCUGACUCAGGAAUAAGCGCUGGAAACGGCGUCUAAUACUGGAUACGAGAAGGGUCCGCAUGGGCACUUUCUGGAAAGUUUUUCGGUUGGGGAUGGGCUCGCGGCCUAUCAGCUUGUUGGUGAGGUAAUGGCUCACCAAGGCGACGACGGGUAGCCGGCCUGAGAGGGCGACCGGCCACACUGGGACUGAGACACGGCCCAGACUCCUACGGGAGGCAGCAGUGGGGAAUAUUGCACAAUGGGCGAAAGCCUGAUGCAGCGACGCCGCGUGAGGGAUGACGGCCUUCGGGUUGUAAACCUCUUUCAGCAGGGAAGAAGCGAAAGUGACGGUACCUGCAGAAGAAGCACCGGCUAACUACGUG